GCAUUAAUGGGGUAGUGGUAACCUGGGUCGUUGCCAUCCGGGCGAUUAAAGCUCGACCCGCCGGGGGUUCGAUUCCCUCUUAAUGCA
This 87-nucleotide transfer RNA is filed under the name Pholiota conissans. It matches the Rfam family "tRNA". Rfam says of the family: Transfer RNA (tRNA) molecules are approximately 80 nucleotides in length. The record is from Rfam by way of RNAcentral. Lineage: Eukaryota; Fungi; Basidiomycota; Agaricomycetes; Agaricales; Strophariaceae.